Non-coding RNA from Seminavis robusta, 108 nucleotides. The record is from the annotation of a GenBank genome assembly. Lineage: Eukaryota; Bacillariophyta; Bacillariophyceae; Naviculales; Naviculaceae.
GGUUGUGUAGCUCAAAUGGACAGAGCAUCGCUUCUUCCUUGCUGAUUUCAACUGAAACAGCUUGUCUCUAUUCAGCGGAGGGUGCAGGUUCAAUUCCUGCCACAACUU